RNAcentral lists this ribosomal RNA (734 nucleotides) under uncultured bacterium. Its description in RNAcentral is "bacterial SSU rRNA". The stretch from base 105 to 734 matches the Rfam family "Bacterial small subunit ribosomal RNA", at positions 874 to 1496 of the family's 1533-position model. The record is from RNAcentral.
UUUAUAGAGUCAGCUGCCACAGCGCGCGUGUAAAGCGAGAUGAAAACUAGUGUGUGCGGGUUAAUUCCGUGCCUGAACGCAACCCAUAAACGUUAUCCCCCACCUGAGUAGUACGGGUCGCAAGGCUGAAACUUAAAAGGAAUGGACGGGCACCCGCACAAGCGGGUGGAGCAUGCUGUUUAAAUUCGAAGAUACGCGAAGAACUUUACUAGGGCUUGACAUCCCAUUGACCGUCUUGGAAACAAGAUUUUCCCUUCGGAGACUGGUGACAGGUGGUGCAUGGUUGUCGUCAGCUCGUGUCGUGAGAUGUUUGGUUAAGUCCCGCAACGAGCGUAACCCUCGUCUUUAAUUGCUAACAGGUUUAGUUGAGAACCUUAAAGAGACUGCCGGUGAUAAACCGGAGGAAGGCGGGGAUGACGUCAAAUCAUCAUGCCCCUUAUGACUUGGGCUACACACGUGCUACAAUGGCGACUACAAAGAGAAGCGGGGGACGCGAGGUCCGGAGCAAAUCUCAAAAAGGUCGUCCCAGUUCGGAUUGUAGUCUGCAACUCGACUACAUGAAGCCGGAAUCGCUAGUAAUCGCGAAUCAGAAUGUCGCGGUGAAUACGUUCCCGGGUCUUGUACACACCGCCCGUCACACCAUGGGAGCCGGAAAUGCCCGAAGUCUGUGACCCAACCGCAAGGAGGGAGCAGCCGAAGGUGGAGCUGGUGACUGGGGUGAAGUCGUAACAAGG